AUGGUUGUGGUAAUGUGGACUUAUCAAAGAUUUGUGUGCUAGAGUAAAAACCGUCGAUUAUCGAUAUUUUCUGAGAGAACAGUGUUCCGCCGUAUACAAAGCGAUGUAUGAAGCGCCAACGAAACUGGAAAAGCUAAACUCGGCCGUAAUGUUCCUAAGGAAAGCAAGCAAAACGUUUCUCCAUCUUGUUAUUUAGCUGCACCAUUCAGAUUUAUCAUCGAUUUACAAAAAUUUCGGAAUUCUAUUCACGCGCAACCACAAAAACAAAGACAAACCUCAGUUUUAUAAUCAUGGCAAAUUACUCGAUAUUGCUGGCCAACCUCAAAGAAAUCAAAACUAAAUAACGGAUGCAACGAAAUGAAAGUCUCGCGCAGUGAAGUGGUCGCGUUUAACGCGUGUUCUUUCCAAUGAUAAUUAUUUUUAUGAAGGAGAGAAAGCGGCCGUAUAUUCACUCAUAUCUAAUAUGUUCAAAACACCGACGUCGGUUGCCUGUGAUCUUGACCGUACCCUGUUUAAUAUAAUAGAGCGGUUUGAAGAAAAAGCAUGCCUCGCACGAAGGACACUGAGGUGAAAGAAAGAACGAAAUGAGAUAGAUCACCUUGCUGGCAAUUAAAACAAACAAUGAAAACGUGAUAGAUGUUGAGCGAGUUUUGUGCUUCCCUAUGGUUCGAGAGACAAAGAAUGUGACGUUAUUAAACAACGAUCCGACGGUGAUAUGCAAACAGGGAGUCAGUGGAUAUUGUAAACAUUUAGCUCCCCUAGCUUGAAUUAUUAUUCAUAAAGAUAGAAGUUAGAGUUUAUGAUGAUGUAAGUAAGAGAUAGAUGUAAGAGUUUAUAAUGACGUAAUGUUAUUCUGUAGAAGAACAAAGUAAGGAGAAAGAAGUUGGGGUUUAUAAUGACGUAAUGUUAUACUGUAGAAGAACAAAGUAAGACAUAGAAGAGGAGUUUAAAAUUUCGUAUUGUUCUACUGUAGAAGAACAAAGUAAGGAGAUAGAAGUUAAAGUUUGUGUAAUGAGAUUGACGUAACAAACUUUUAGCAGUGAAAAGAAAUUCAAAGACCUGCCUUUUAUCUCGAAAAUAAUCAUUGGGAAGACACGCAUGCGUAGCAAGCAUCCAAGAUUUGCAAAGACACACCUGCGUAAUAGGCAACCAAGACUGGAAGAGACACGCAUGCGUAGCAGGCAUUUUUUUCUACCUUUCAAUCCACUGUUUCAAACUUUUAUAAUUUCUAUUGCGCAUGUGUCAAAUCACUGGAUAUAUAUAAUCAGCUCUUUUCAAAAAAUAGAUACGCAAUGCGUACAUGUACGUUCUUCCACAUCAUUACGUCAACGAAAUUCUCAGUGUCUUCAACCAAUUUCUUCCAGAAAUAGAGAAUUUCUUCACAGGAUUCAGCAUCAAAUGAAAAUAAAUCAUACAUAAUUUAAUAUAUAAAAAAAUUAACUUUAAAACUCAUAAUUUAAUAUUUAGUAAAAGUCAUCUCCACAAUGGUAAAUAUAUAUAUAUUUUACUUCUGACUUAAUGUUGUUGAUAAUCAGAGGAGUAGCCAGCAUGCAAUUUUCUCAUUGAUAUGUAAACUUUUUGUUGUUCACUAACUGAACUAAAAACAAUCAAUUUCAAAAGAAUCAUAAAAUUAUUAAAAUAGCAUUCACCAAAUUUCCAGGCUGGCUUUUCCACUGUUGAUGAUCUCAUAUAGAUACAUGUUUGUUGAUGUAGAUUAUUUUGAAAGCAAAACUGGAUGGUCCACCAGGUCUGGAUCAACCUGUUUUACUUCCAGGCAACAAACUUCAAAAAUUAAAAUUUCCCAUUAAACAAGAAUUUUCCCUCAUUUUCAAUAAUAAAAGUUUUCAAUAACAAACACUGAGUAAAUAAGGAAGAUGGCUAGGCCAUUGGUUGUCUCCAAGGAAGAAUGUUGGUAGACAUUAACAUAAAUACAUUACAUAUCAUAGAGCAGGUUUUAUGAAUAAAGAUGAAGCUGUUGAAUACAUAA
This is a long non-coding RNA of Xenia sp. Carnegie-2017, 1987 nucleotides long. RefSeq lists it as uncharacterized. The record is from RefSeq and is a predicted model, not a curated record. The transcript is spliced from 2 exons. Lineage: Eukaryota; Metazoa; Cnidaria; Anthozoa; Malacalcyonacea; Xeniidae.